GUGCCAGCCGCCGCGGUAAUACCGGCAGCCCGAGUGAUGGCCACUCUUAUUGGGCCUAAAGCGUCCGUAGCCGGCCUCGCAAGUCCGUCGGGAAAUCCAGUAGCUCAACUACUGGGCGUCCGGCGGAAACCACUCGGCUUGGGGCCGGAGGACUCGAGGGGUACGUCUGGGGUAGGAGUGAAAUCCCGUAAUCCUGGACGGACCGCCGAUGGCGAAAGCACCUCGAGAGGACGGACCCGACAGUGAGGGACGAAAGCCAGGGUCUCGAACCGGAUUAGAAACCCUGGUAGUCC
Molecule: ribosomal RNA, 293 nt
Filed under: uncultured bacterium
Lineage: Bacteria
Description: partial 16S ribosomal RNA
Rfam family: Archaeal small subunit ribosomal RNA
Source: RNAcentral